Molecule: ribosomal RNA, 22 nt
Filed under: uncultured fungus
Lineage: Eukaryota; Fungi
Description: partial 18S ribosomal RNA
Source: RNAcentral
GGUGACCUGCGGAAGGUCAUUA